Astatotilapia calliptera (eastern happy) is the source of this 1617-nucleotide long non-coding RNA. Lineage: Eukaryota; Metazoa; Chordata; Actinopteri; Cichliformes; Cichlidae. The record is from Ensembl.
GGACAUUUCUCUCAGUCAACAGUCAAUCAGGUUGAUCAACGUGAAAGUGCUGACAUGAAGCUUGGGUUGCUUGUCGUGGUGGCUGUGGCAGUUGUGCUGCCCAGCUUUUCUGAGAGCAGGAUUGUCUCCAAAUGUGAGCUCAAAGACAAGCUCGGGAAAAUGAUCAAUCUGCCCAGAAACUCAAAGGAAAAAAUCUUGGCAAUAGUUAUCUGUGACGUGAAACGGAGGUCUGAUCUGAACACCGCUUUGGUCACAUCAUUUGGAAAGUGCACUAACACUACUACUAGCCCAACUAGUACUAACUCCACCAUCAGCUCAGUGAACACAACCCUUGAGUCAAACAGCACAAGUAGCAGUGAGGAAGACAGCAGUGAGGAGGAGAGCAGGCAAAUUAACGGAGGAGUGGAAGACAGCAGGGAGGAGGAAAAUUUGACGCCUUUGUCCCUCAGCCUUUACGGGCUCUUCCAGCUGUCUGACAGGAAGUUCUGUGAUUCAGGGUAUUGCCCAUCUGAAAAUUUGUGUAAUACCUCCUGCACAGCCUUUAACGACGAGGACAUAACUGAUGAUAUUGCUUGUGUUAUCCAGACUGGAUACUGGAAGGAGAUUGAGAUGACAGCCUCAGAGUCAUGUCGUCACAACUGGAAUUGCUUCAAAGAAUAAAGUGCUGACAUGAAACUCGGGUUGCUUGUUGUGGUGGCUGUGGCAGUUCUGCUGCCCAGCUUUUCUGAGAGCCGGAUCGUCUCCAAAUGCGAGCUCCAAGACAAGCUUGGGAAAGUGAUACGUCUGCCCAGGACACUCUUGGCUAUAAUUGUCUGUGAAGUGGACAGGAUCUCUCAUCUGAACACCAGCUUGGUCAAUGUGCUUGGCAAGCGCACAACUACCACACUAAAGCCAACAACCCCCUCCACAACAGCAGUCACCUUAACGACCACUGGAGCGACGACACUGACAAGCACCAACUCAGCAACCACUGACCUGACUGCUACUACUACUACUACUUCUACUGCUAUUACUACUACUACUACUGUCAUGACUACUAGCCCUGCGAUUACUAACUCCACCAUCAGCUCAGUGAACACAACCCUUGUGUCAAACAGCACAAGUGGCAUGAACAGAAGAAAGCGACAUGCUCACUCGAGCAGUGAGGAGGAGAUCGGGCAAACUGGCGGAGGAGUGGAAGACAGCAGUGAGGAGGAAAACUUGAAGCCUUCGUCCCUCGGCCUUUACGGGCUCUUCCAGCUGCCUGACAACAUUUUCUGUAAUUCGGGGCUUCGUCCAUCCAGAAAUGUUUGCCGCACCUCCUGCAACUCCUUCACUGACAAUAACAUAACUGACGAUAUUGCUUGUUUCAUCAACACUGGUUACUGGAGGAACAUUGUGAGGAGAGCCUCUCGCUCAUGUCGUCACAACAUGAAUUUCUUAAGAGAAUGUAAAUAAGUGGAUGUGGAAUCACAGUUUUUCCCUGCAGAAUCACAAAAAAUUCUUCACAGUUUCCAUCUCCAGUGAUCUGUGAUUAAGGAACCGCAUGCUCCAUUAUCUACUUUACCUUAUGAAGCACUAUUUUCUUUCUUUGGUGGAGGAAUCUUUCAAUAAACAUUACUUUGCAGCAUAUAUACA